This 2550-nucleotide small RNA is filed under the name Drosophila pseudoobscura pseudoobscura. Its description in RNAcentral is "GA32630". Lineage: Eukaryota; Metazoa; Arthropoda; Insecta; Diptera; Drosophilidae. The record is from RNAcentral.
CAAAUUCUUUAGAACUUCAGAGUCAGUAGAGCGGCUAAACUAUCAAACCCUUUGUGUGUAUAAACCGGAUAUACCAGCCUCAACUUUCCACCCGGACAUACCAGAUUUAGGUGAGAGAUUCUUUGGGCUUCGAUUUGUAUGAAUCAUCAUCUGGUGUUUGAUUUAUGGGGGAUUUUUUGUAGAUCUCAAAGUUGUUUUGCCACCUACUGACGCAGUUUCGGCUGGCAUUCCGCAGAAAUUCAUUAGAGAAACAGCCUUUAUCUGGAGCACAUGCAUUGUCGUCAUAUGUUUGCCGAUAAGGUAGCUGUUCUCCCCACCCUGAGAUACAUUUUUUAUGAAUGAAACAGAAGUAGCCUCAGGCGAUCGAAACGAACGUAAAUUGAGGAUGUGAGUCAUGCUGGAGCCCAGGGGCAGGCAAUGGCAUUUAUAUAUGGCAUAUAUAUAUGCUGGCAUCUCAGUCUUAAUUUGUAUCUCAAAGAUAUCCCAGAGCACUUGCAGAUACAGAUAUGCAAACAGCAGCAAUCUAGCAAACAAAUAAGCAAACAAACACCAGAGUCGUGACAAAAACAAUAGUUGUUCUCUUAUAAUUUGCAUUUUGGUCUUAGAUUCCGUUUGCUCUGCACGUAUCUGAGUAUCUUUCCACCUGCCCGCUUGGCCUGGCCUUUCGGUUGUAUUGAUAAGAAAAUUAGUUGCCCAAGCAAAUGCCAGGGAAGACAACUUAUCGGCUUUGUCCGGCCCCAGGCGCUGGCCCGGCCCCCGGGCUGGCAUUCCCGGGCCAAAAUUCUCGCAAAAUUAAUUAUAAUCAAGCUUUGCGAGAGUGCUUAUUGAACGUGCUGAAUUAUUAAUUAUUUAUUGGUGUUUAGCAAAGAUAUAUUGAAUGAAUGCCAGCAGGCCCGAGAGGUUCCACACAUUUGCCCAGACAAUUGGAAAACAUAACGAAGAGGCAAUCAAUGUUUAAUUAAGGCUAUAUGUAGUUGGGCAGAACUAUUAGAGACCUUUGGAAAGAGCCUCUAUAGGAAGAUGGACUUGUUUUGUGCAGGGUUUGCAUUGAAGAAAGCCUUCAGUUAUAGAUCCUUCUUAUAGCUUCAAUGCCAGUCUCCAUCGACAAACCGAUUAACGUGAGAUUCAACCCAUGGAAAGCUUGAAUAUUCGUGGUACACAUUACCUCCAGUUGUAAUGCCGAAAGAGGAAGGAGAUCCAAAAACUCAAGGCCUUGAGAAAGGGCCUUUCAAAUGGUGUACAGGAUAUGGCUUCAUCUGAGGGUUUUGCACGACAUAGAGGCACCCUAAACACAUCAUUCGCCCUGCACUACGUUUCCUCUACUCCUCUAAUUUAUUGGCUUUUAAAUACCUAAUAUUUCAGGGCUUUUCUGUACCUUUUCAACCUCUUGCGAGGGCCCUGGCGAUGGAGUACUUUUUAGUUCUGGGGCCACCUUAAAAUACAUGAUAUUCCAAGACUUGCCUUGAAAAUACUUAUACCUGGUAAAGGGGCACCCUCUUCCUCGUUGGAUCGCCCCUCUUCUACCCUGAUUCGCACCCUUUGUGCAACCGCAAAUGCAAGUCAAGUUGAAAUGAAAGAAAUUUCCAUAAUUAGCGUUAAUUGCUGCUUAGUUGUGCAAAUAGAACACAAACCGAAAGGGAAAGUGGGCGAGGGAGAGCUAAGGGGGGGCCUGGACGGGUCUGAGAAAAGAGUGCGGUUUACUCCUCUCCUCCCCCCCCGCCCCACCAAGCGAGAACAGUGCAGCGGCAUUUUGUGAGUCAUCAAAGAGAAAAGUGAACAGCUUGCGGUCCAAAGGGGGGCAGAGUGGGGGGUGAAACCUCAAGUGACCGCCAUUCCCAGUGCUAUCCGGCACCCAGCUCCCAGCUCUCGACCGUUUUUGCGCCCCUCUGUUUGCCAGGGGCAACCACCUCCAUUUACUGCGGAAAAGUGAAUGGCAACCUGGGCCGACCAGUGGAUAAUUUGUGGCAAGUGCUGCACGGCCACUCCCUGUACACUCCAUUCCAUUGCACGGCCCCUCAAAAGAGCGAGAAUCAAACACACACACACCCCAUGAAAUGUCAAAGAGGUUGGAGUUGGAGUUGGAGCCACUUUCGGCCCCACAAAUUUUCGCACAAAGUUUGAUCAAAAAAGCAAACAUUUAUCAAUUGAAAUUUGCUCGGACAAAUCGAAAAAAAGGCAUAGGGUAGGGAGGGGAGCGGGGGAGUAGAUAUCGCUGAUAUGAGUCGGCAGAGUAGAGAGGCUGCUGCUCCCCUUUUGGAGAGGGGAGUUUCUCUAGGGAAACCUAGAGAAAAGUAGUCAAACAAAGACUAUGUUUUGGGGGCCUCAAUAUCUAUCAAAAAUCAAAAACUUCUCAAGAGUUCUACAACUGCAAUGUAAUAAACCCUUGAGACUUCCUUUUGGCAUCACUUGUAAUGGUUCCAGAGGCAAGGAGUAUCCCCUUUCCACCCCAAAGUAGAGCAUCAAAGUUGUCGGUUCGAUCGACUGCCCCAAAAGCAAUCCAUCGAACGAGUCUUUGAGUCGUUGUCUCUUGGUUUUUGGGUGCGGCGUGUG